Molecule: ribosomal RNA, 433 nt
Filed under: uncultured bacterium
Lineage: Bacteria
Description: partial 16S ribosomal RNA
Rfam family: Bacterial small subunit ribosomal RNA
Source: RNAcentral
AACGAACGCUGGCGGCAUGCCUAACACAUGCAAGUCGAACGAGCCCUUCGGGGUUAGUGGCGCACGGGUGCGUAACGCGUGGGAAUCUGCCCUUGGGUUCGGAAUAACAGUGAGAAAUUACUGCUAAUACCGGAUGAUGUCUUCGGACCAAAGAUUUAUCGCCCAAGGAUGAGCCCGCGUAGGAUUAGCUAGUUGGUGGGGUAAUGGCCUACCAAGGCGACGAUCCUUAGCUGGUCUGAGAGGAUGAUCAGCCACACUGGGACUGAGACACGGCCCAGACUCCUACGGGAGGCAGCAGUGGGGAAUAUUGGACAAUGGGCAAAAGCCUGAUCCAGCAAUGCCGCGUGAGUGAUGAAGGCCUUAGGGUUGUAAAGCUCUUUUACCCGGGAUGAUAAUGACAGUACCGGGAGAAUAAGCUCCGGCUAACUCCGUG